RNAcentral lists this ribosomal RNA (253 nucleotides) under uncultured bacterium. RNAcentral describes it as "partial 16S ribosomal RNA". It matches the Rfam family "Bacterial small subunit ribosomal RNA", at positions 524 to 776 of the family's 1533-position model. The record is from RNAcentral.
UACAGAGGUCUCAAGCGUUGUUCGGAUUCAUUGGGCGUAAAGGGUGCGUAGGUGGCGCGUUAAGUCAGGUGUGAAAUUUCGGAGCUUAACUCCGAAACUGCAUUUGAUACUGGCGUGCUUGAGGACUGGAGAGGAGACUGGAAUUCAUGGUGUAGCAGUGAAAUGCGUAGAGAUCAUGAGGAAGACCAGUGGCGAAGGCGGGUCUCUGGACAGUUCCUGACGCUGAGGCACGAAGGUCAGGGGAGCAAACGGG